GUGGGCUUCUCCCGGCGAGAUCCCGAGUGAUUGUACCGGAUGGAGAUGUGAGAAAGGUGUAGCUCUACACCCCCAGGAGACAGGGAUGUGAGAAAGGUGUAGCUCUACACCCCCAGGAGACAGGGAUGUGAGAAAGGUGUAGCUCUACACCCCCAGGAGACAGGGAUGUGAGACAGGUGUAGCUCUACACCCCCAGGAGACAGGGAUGUGAGAAAGGUGUAG
Long non-coding RNA from Brienomyrus brachyistius, 222 nucleotides. RefSeq lists it as uncharacterized. The transcript has 3 exons. The record is from RefSeq and is a predicted model, not a curated record. NCBI's taxonomy places the organism in Eukaryota, Metazoa, Chordata, Actinopteri, Osteoglossiformes, Mormyridae.